CCUUCGGGCUAGUGGCGGACGGGUGAGUAACACGUGGGAACGUACCUUUAGGUUCGGAAUAACUCAGGGAAACUUGAGCUAAUACCGAAUGUGCCCUUCGGGGGAAAGAUUUAUCGCCUUUAGAGCGGCCCGCGUUAGAUUAGCUAGUUGGUGGGGUAAUGGCCCACCAAGGCUACGAUCUAUAGCUGGUCUGAGAGGAUGAUCAGCCACACUGGGACUGAGACACGGCCCAGACUCCUACGGGAGGCAGCAGUGGGGAAUCUUGCGCAAUGGGCGAAAGCCUGACGCAGCCAUGCCGCGUGAAUGAUGAAGGUCUUAGGA
Molecule: ribosomal RNA, 321 nt
Filed under: uncultured bacterium
Lineage: Bacteria
Description: bacterial SSU rRNA
Rfam family: Bacterial small subunit ribosomal RNA
Source: RNAcentral